Molecule: ribosomal RNA, 1350 nt
Filed under: Triticum aestivum (bread wheat)
Lineage: Eukaryota; Viridiplantae; Streptophyta; Magnoliopsida; Poales; Poaceae
Description: partial small subunit ribosomal RNA
Source: RNAcentral
AUGGCAGCAGGCACGAAGGACGACGGGCCAGCGAUCGGCAUCGACCUCGGGACGACCUACUCCUGCGUGGCCGUGUGGCGGCCGGUGCACCAGCGCGUGGAGGUCAUCGCCAACGACCAGGGCAACCUCACCACGCCUUCCUGCGUCGCCUUCACCGAGACCUGGCGACUCAUCGGCGACGCGGCCAUGAACCAGGCUGCCAUGAAUCCCGUCAACACCGUCUUCGAUGCGAAGCGUCUGAUCGGUCGACGAUUCAGUGAAGAGUCCGUGCAAGGAGAUAUGAAGUUGUGGCCAUUCAAAGUCAUUUCAGGCCGCAGUGGUCGCCCGAUGAUCGUGGUGAAGUACAGGGGUGAGGAGAAGCAGUUUGCGGCUGAAGAAAUCUCGUCCAUGGAGCUUGUUAAGAUGAGGGAGACAGCCGAGGCCUACCUUGGCACCACGGUGAAGGAUGCUGUCAUCACCGUCCCAGUCUACUUCAACGACUCUAGUGGCCAGUCCACCCUCGAUGCUGGCGCCAUCGCUGGCCUCAACGUCACACGCAUCAUCAACGAGCCCUCCGCUGCUGCCAUCGCCUAUGGUCUUGGCAAUACUUCUGCUUAUGGCGGAGCAAAGACGGUGCUCACAUUUGAUUUUGGUGGUGGUACCUUGGAUAUCUCUGUCGUCAACAUCGACGAAGGCACAUUUACAGUUAAGGCCACCUCUGGUGACACCCACCUUGGAGGGGAGGAUAUCAACAACCGGAUGGCGGAGCACUUCGUUCAGGAUUUCUUCAAGAAACACAAGAGUGACCUCAGAAGCAGCCCGAAGGCACUUAUGCGGCUUAGGAUGGCCUGCGAGAGGGCCAAGAGGAUGCUGUCUUCCACGGCGCAGGCCAAGUUUGAGAUCGACUCACUCCACAACGGCAUUGACUUCUGUGGGACCAUCACCCGGGCGCGUUUCGAGGAGCUCAACUUGGACCUCUUCAGCAAGUGCAUUAUGCAUGUGGCGAAGUGCCUUGGCGAUGCUGAGAUGGACAAGUCACAGGUCCACGACGUCGUGCUCGUGGGUGGCUCCACCAAGAUCCCCAAGGUGCAGCAGAUGCUGCAGGAUUUCUUUGACGGGAAGAAGCUCUGCAAGAAAAUUAAUCCGGACGAGGGCGUCGCCUACGGCGCUGCUGUUCAGGCCGCCAUCCUCAACGGCGAGUACAACCAGGAGGAGCAGGACUUUCUCCUGCUUGACGUCACGCCACUCUCGCUCGGGAUAGAGAUAGACGACGGUGACAUGUCCGUGGUGAUACCCAGGAACACUACCAUCCCCGGUAAGAUGGACGGGGGUUACACGACCAUCGUUGACAACCAGACUGGGUUAGGCUGA